Unclassified non-coding RNA from Pongo abelii (Sumatran orangutan), 148 nucleotides. It matches the Rfam family "Metazoan signal recognition particle RNA". From Rfam's summary of the family: The signal recognition particle (SRP) is a universally conserved ribonucleoprotein. The record is from Ensembl. Lineage: Eukaryota; Metazoa; Chordata; Mammalia; Primates; Hominidae.
GCUGGGUGUGGUGGCGCACACCUGUAGUCCCAGCUACUCAGGAGGCUGAGGCAGAAGAAUAGCUUGAACCCGGGAGGCGGAGGUUGCAGUGAGCAGAGAUCACACCACUGCACUCCAACCUGGGCAACAGAGUAAGAAUCUGUCUCAA